AGUGAACGCUGGCGGUAGGCCUAACACAUGCAAGUCGAACGGCAGCACAGUAAGAGCUUGCUCUUACGGGUGGCGAGUGGCGGACGGGUGAGGAAUACAUCGGAAUCUACUUUUUCGGGGGGGAUAACGUAGGGAAACUUACGCUAAUACCGCAUACGACCUACGGGUGAAAGCAGGGGAUCUUCGGACCUUGCGCGAAUGAAUGAGCCGAUGUCGGAUUAGCUAGUUGGGGGGGUAAAGGCCCACCAAGGCGACGAUACGUAGCUGGUCUGGGAGGGUGGUCGGCCACACUGGAACUGGGACACGGUCCAGGCUCCUACGGGAGGCCGCAGUGGGGAAUGUUGGACAAUGGGCGCAAGCCUGAUCCAGCCAUACCGCGUGGGUGAAGAAGGCCUUCGGGUUGUAAAGCCCUUUUGUUGGGAAAGAACAGCAGCAGGUUAAUACCCCGCUGUUCUGACGGUACCCAAAGAAUAAGCACCGGCUAACUUCGUG
Molecule: ribosomal RNA, 492 nt
Filed under: uncultured bacterium
Lineage: Bacteria
Description: partial 16S ribosomal RNA
Rfam family: Bacterial small subunit ribosomal RNA
Source: RNAcentral